Molecule: small nuclear RNA, 101 nt
Organism: Podospora anserina
Lineage: Eukaryota; Fungi; Ascomycota; Sordariomycetes; Sordariales; Podosporaceae
Source: Rfam
GCCCUCCGGGGCAUUCGGUCAAUUUGAAACAAUACAGAGAAAAUUAGCAUGGCACCUGGACCAAGGAUGACACGCUACUCAAAGAGACGCUCCCAAUUUUU